UACGGAGGGUGCAAGCGUUGUCCGGAUUUAUUGGGUUUAAAGGGUGCGUAGGUGGCCUUAUAAGUCAGCGGUGAAAGUCUGCAGCUUAACUGUAGAACUGCCAUUGAUACUGUAAGGCUUGAGUACUGAUGAGGUAGGCGGAAUUGAUAGUGUAGCGGUGAAAUGCAUAGAUAUUACCAAGAACACCGAUUGCGAAGGCAGCUUACUAAGGAGUUACUGACACUGAGGCACGAAAGCGUGGGGAUCAAACAGG
This 253-nucleotide ribosomal RNA is filed under the name uncultured bacterium. RNAcentral's name for it is "partial 16S ribosomal RNA". It matches the Rfam family "Bacterial small subunit ribosomal RNA", at positions 524 to 776 of the family's 1533-position model. The record is from RNAcentral.